UGGUCUGGGAGUAGGCAGACAUCAAAUGCCUGACAUUGAAACCAGAACAUUCAGAAUUAUUUAGGCAGCUUGGCACAAUAAUAUUCAAAAGAAGUUUCAUCAGUUUGUCCCAACUCUUGAACCAAUAUAGAUGCUGUCUGAGAGUUGAAAACAAAGAGAUAAAGAAAACCAGCUGUGUAUUGAACGUGGUGAUAAACUAGAGGUUCUUCUGUCAACUGGCUUACACCAAUAAAAUUUCGGCCUAGAGAUUAUUCAUGUUCACUUGGGGAAGAUAAUCCAGUCCAAUGCCUUUGUUUAUUAUGGGUCUGCCUUGAGGUGGGAAAUCCCCAUUCACUGGUGACUGAAGAGAGAGUGUUAUUCAAGCCAUGGAAAAAGUCAGUGGGUGUGCCGCCCAUCUGUAAAAAAGCCCAGUUACAGCUACGUUGCUUGUUUAAUGGAGAUCCUUAAAAUUAAUAGCAGGGUAAGCCCAUUUGACAAGGCACUAACUAGUUGUUCUUAAAACAUUUUAGUCUGUUGUGUUUUUGUGUUGAUUAGCAUGUGGGGAGCCGAUGUAAAUUGCUUGAACUCUAAAGUUAAGUCUCUUGCCUCAGAAAACCUUACAGCUUAGGAGUUUAUUUUCAUACUCAAACGUUUAAAACAAUUAACUCAUUCAUGGGAGAGGACUUUAAACUGAGCUCAUCUGAGUUAAAAAAUAUAUAUACAAGAGUGUUAUUCAUGAGUGAGCUUGUUUUCCCUCCAAAUCGUGGGUUGCUUGAAACCAAAAGCUGAAGGAAAACAUUGCUCUUAAACUUAAUAUGCUACUAGCCAGUGGAAGUGGGUGCAAUGCCACCAGAUUUAUCUUCCCCUGUCAUUUCAAAUGCACGCCUCACCCAGCCUAUGCAACCCUUCCUGCCAUUUCCAUCCUGCUCUUUAUUUAUUUUUAAAAUGUAAAGCCAGGUUUGUUUGUUUAGACAGGUAGCUUUCUGCCCUGCUCAAAAUUAUUAUUAUUUUUCUGGUGUAUUGGGAUUUGACAGGGAUGAAGAAAAACAUCAGCCAUUUCUUCCCGUUGUCCUUACCUCAUCUUCAGGAGAAUGUUUGCAGCUGUCUCUAGCGCCAUUCGAGGCAGUAAUUCAUCUCCAGAUGCAGGCUAAGGCCUAAAAACCUGCUGACACAGACACUUGCAGUUGCUGAUACCUUGACUUCUAGACAGGCAUGUUUAAUUUGUACAAUGGCCUCAACUUAAGACUGCUAUUCCCUUCUAUAAAACCCCAAGGCAAAUUCAUUGCAGGGUAGACUUUACAAUCGGGGGCAAAAACAAACAGUAACACUCCAAAGUCCCUGCCCUGGGUUUUUCUUUUCUCUUUUCUAGGUAGCCAGUUAAAACUGAGGUAGAAAUGAUUCAUGAAUUAACCAAGAGUUGACAGGGAGGGUACGACUUGAACCAAUGGCUUCAAGUUACAAGAAAGGAGAGUGCGACUAAACCAGGCAUAGGCAAACUCAGCCCUCCAGAUGUUUUGAGACUACAGUUCCCAUCAUCGCUGACCACUGGUCCUGUUAGCUAGGGAUGAUGGGAGCCAUAGUCCCAAAACAUCUGGAGGGUCGAGUUUGCCUAUGCCUGGACUAAACAUACAAAAAAACCUUUCUGACAAUAAGAGCUGUUUGAAGUGGAACAGUCUCCCUCGGGAGAUUGUGGACUCUUCUUCCCUGGAGGUUUUUAAGCAGAGGUUGGAUGGGCAUCUGUCAUGGAUACUUUAGCUGAGAUUCCUGCAUUGCAGGGGGUUGGGCUAGAGGAUCCUUGGUAACCCUUCCAACUCUACAAUUCUAGUAUUCUAGAAUUUGCUGCCUUAAGCAGAGUCCAAAUGACACCUCCAUGCUGCUAUGGUCAACACUUUCAAAAGUCUUGCUACCCUAUUCCGAUACCAAUUCUUGCUUUCAUCUAUCCCUCUCCACCAUCCCCACUAAUGAUGCUGCCGGAAGCAGGUUGAAUCACUUGGCUGUGUUCAGUGCCAGAUUUACAUAUAAGCUAAACAAGCUAUAGCUUAGGGCCCCACUCUCUUGGGGCCCCCAAAAAAUGUAAAGGGGGGAAAACUGGAUGUGCAUUUCCAAAAUAUAAGAUAAAAAACAAAUGACUUUGAUAAAAUACAUGUUUUGUUAUGUGCAAAUGGCUUUAGAUACCUAUUAGGUCCAUAAAUUACCAUAUAGCAUAUAUUCAACACUAAAAAACAGCGACAAUUUGUUGUUGACAAAGGACAGCUGGACAUAUAAAGGGCCCCAUUACUUUCAGUCGCCUAGGGCCUCAUCAAACCUAAAUCCAGCCCUGGCUGUGUUACAGGGCUGGCCCUAGGAGUUAUACAUUUAUACAUAAGUUUAUGUGAUGGUACAUGGUGUUUCUAUCCUACCUUUCAUCACGGAAGAUCUCAGGGCACCAAACAGCAUUAUAAAACACAAUAAAAAGUUACCAAGAACAUUCCAUUAGAACAGCGGAAAUAAUAAUUCAGUAUAUCACCCAUCUGUCUCGGUGUGGGCUCAUACCUGAAAUGGCUGAUGGGAAGAGAAAGUUAUUCAGCUGGUGCCAAAUAUCAGGAAGGUGGGCAGCAUCUUGCAAGGGUUCCCCAAGUGUGCACCCAACCUCCUUACGAAGGAGGAAGAUACCAGUUUGUGUUGGUGGCAAGGGGGGAAAAGAUAUAAAAGGAGAAUUCCUGGAUGCUGAAAUCCAAGUUUGAAGCAGGUACUCUUUGGUGAGAGAAGUCCAGCAAGUAUUUGAAAACACAAAACAUGCAGCAAAGUAAAGCAUGGACACAUAGGCUGUUAGACCUUUAAAAUAUGUCUUUCCGAGUGAGUUCCAAAAUAGUGCCCUCUUCCCCUGCAUAGGAAAAGACCACUAGUUUACACAGUUUAAAACGGUUUACUUACAAAGCCUUAAAAAGUCAGGUUCAUAUGCUUUUUUCCAUACAUCAAUCAGAAAAGCCACACAGGCAGUAAAACUUGGUUUAGUUCUAAAGUGGUGAAAAUUUCCAAAUUAUUGUUAUAGGAACUCAAGAGAGGCUUGUUAGAGCCAUGCGGUCUGAGCAGCAGCAACCAGCACGGCAGGACAGUUUACUCUAUGGCAUUAACCCCUUCAUGGAUUAAUUAGACUUAAGCAUGUUGGCUAUAUGAGGCUGGUUAUCCCACAGUUUGUUCCCUCCAAAGCAGUGUCUGUGUGUGUCUUGACUAGACACACUUAGGCUAUUAAGACAUGACUUAGACUUUGUAAGUCACCUGUUGCACAUGACACAUGCCUCUUAAAGAGACAGGCCACUUUAUAGUACUCUGUGUAAAGCAGCUAUAGGUAAGCAGGCUGACAUCAUAUUGGUCAUAAUACAAUCAGUGUUCCAUCUGCCUGCCGACUCAAAUUCCUGCAGCAACUUCUGCUUUUCUGAAGAGAAUGGAGCAAAACACGAGCCUGUGUAAGGAAAGUGGAAACCCAUCAGCAAAGGAUGUUUCCAAGCACAAACAUAAAUGUGCUUGGAGAGACCCUGAUGUAUCCUUUUAAUGACUAGCUGUAACUCACUGCUUUUACUUUUACUUUAGUAAAAAAAGGGGGGUACUAAACCAGGGCAAGUGGCAGGAACAGCUGAAAACAUACUUGCCCACUCUCCCUACGACCACCUAAGGGCUAUGAACAUCUGGAACAAUCUGAAGCAGAGGGAAAGUGGGUACAUGCUAAUGUUUUUCAGUGAUGUAUUCCGCUUUUUAUUACCAUGGAACUUUUGAGACCGGGAUGUGUUCCUUCACAAACAGUGGUUGCUAUAUUGGAAAUGGGUCACAUUAUUUGAGAUCUGGAAUGAUUUGUGUAAUGCUAAUCCAAGGGGGUUUAAACUUACUAAGUGUUCUUGGCAAUGUAUAAGAACCUAUGAGCCAUCAUCUGAUCUGGGAUUUCUCUUUUCUCUUUUUGGGAGUGGGUGGUGGUGGAGGAGUUAGGAAGAGGCAGUUUUGCACCUAUAGGAUGCUUGGAGAUCAUUCCCCUGCACAGAACCGUGUUGUCAGCCACAGAUCUCUUUCCAAUUUCCACGCUUCAAUCCUGUCUAUGUUUGCCAUCACAUUGGCUGAGUAUUUAAUCUCUUUGCUCUCCAGAAAACAGCUCUUUGUCUCUGUCUGUACCGUACAACAGAAGCAAGUAGCAGGAUUGGAGAUGACGAAAAGACCCUUAAGAAGAGCAUGGGUAGGACAUUACAGAAAUAGGUCCCUUCUUUUUUUCCAAUGAUAUGUUAUUCAGUGUCAACAUUAAUACCAUAUACAGUCAAAAAACACAACUUCGUCUUUUCUCUUAUUUUUGUCGACUUUCCACCCAUUUUCCUAUGGAGUUGUUGUUUCUCUUCUUCUGAUGCACCCUGUCUUCUACCUACCAAAUCGUAACAAUAUUAUAAUCUGAUUACUUCUGUUGCUUAUAGCUCUAAUCCUGCUCACAAGUUCAUCAUUACUAUUUCUUGAAAUAGUUCAAAAAAGGCAUCCAUUCUUCCAUAAAACAUGCAUUCUCUUAAAAAGCCCAUUCUCUUAAUUUUGCUGUUACUUAACACCCCCCCCCCAAAAAAGGUCCCUUCUGAUACCUGGGUUCCAAGCCAUCUAGGGCUUUAUAUGCCAGAAUCGAAACCUUGAAUUGGGCUUGGUAGCAAACUGGCAGCCAGCAGAAAUCAUGUGGUCUCCUACAAACAAGACAGUCUCUAUAACCUGGCAGCAAUAUUUUGUUCUAGCUGCCAUAUCUCAGCUGUAGUCAAGGGCAGCCCUAUGCAAAAUGCAUUGCAGCAGAAUAAUUGGGAGAUGACUAAAUGAUGGAUUACUGUGGCCAGUUAUCGCUGUCCAAGAAUAGCCAUAGCUGGUGAUGCAGCUGGAGUUGGAAAUAGUUGCUCUGUGCAAUUGGUGGCACUUGGGCUUCUAGGGACAGAGUAGAAGCAAGAAGCGUGCCCAGCCUGCAAACCUCAUUCUUCCGGGGGAAUGCCAUCCCAUCCCAUCCAGGACAGGCUAACUAAUUCAUGGACCCAGAAUGGCCAUAGGAUAACAGCCAGAGUGCCGUAACGAAACUGAGCUAUGCACAUGCAACAGUGAAUGCAUCCUUUUAUUUAAAAACACACAGGCCUCCCAUUCAUAAAUAGUUUGACAGGGAUAAGGCUGACUAGAAGGCUUUCCCUGAUAUACUGGUUUUUUUUAAUAUAGAAUAUUUUUCUCUAUAUAGGGAAUAUUCAAACACAAACUCCUAUAUUUGCAGCCUGUUAUGGUAUAACCCACCAAGAGGCAAUUUAAAACUGCUCUAAGAGGGUACGCUUUCACUAACAAGAAAUGUGGGAGAGAGACACGAAUAUAAAAGCCUUUUUUAAUUUUAAUAGAAUAUCUUUUAGCCAAUAAUGUGAGGUCAAUCUGUAAUGGGAGACUAUUGAAUAAAGCAGACAGGCAUAAAGAUUUGACUAUCAGUCUUAAUGAUGGCACAUUGUCAGCUUCAGAAGCCAUAAUGUACUCUGGCCUUUCUCUCCCUGCUUUAAUGCAAACGUUCAUUCAUAUCAGCUCGCCGUGUCAAACUACACGGCAAUUUAGUCCCUUACUUCAUGGGUACACUAUUGAACAGAACUGACUUGCCAGACCAGAAAAUAUAUGUUUUAUUUAUUUACGUUGUAGAUUUAUGCACUGCUCUUUAGUAUAAAUAUUUCCAGAGUGGUCCUUCCAGUGCAGUAUUACGUUUCCAACAGUAGCCAGAUGAAGGUCCUUCACAGCCUACAAAGAGAACAUCAUAAUGAUAAUCAUCACCUCUUGUUUAUUAUUUCUGCCCCAUAAUUCUGGCAGCUAGCACAACCAGACGCCGUCCUCUACCCCAGCUGCAACAAAACAUGUCUCUCCCGUAUCGGUCUCUACAGCCACUGCAAGCGCUGUAACCUUCCAACAGUUUGACUUUACCCCACAAAAUGCACUCCUCCAUUGUCUCCCGAGACAGACGGAUGCCAACCAAACAUAUUACCUUAGCUCACAAAGGCUCCAUUUCGCUACGAUGGCAAAUAAGUGAUAACACUACAGAUAGGGAAUCGUAGAAUUGAGAACUGAGAUUCUUACAUUGCAGAGGGUCAUCUAGUCCAACCAAAAGCAUCCAUGACAGAUGACCAUCCAAUCUCUGCUUUAAAAAAUCCCAAAAAAGGAGAGUCCAUCGCUGUCAAAUGGCUCUUACCAUCAGAAAAUUCUACUUUGUGUUUAGUGAGUUGUGGGACAGUCAAGUUUCCAGCUGCAUUUGUUUGUUCCUUUGCCUUUAACAGCAGCCAGAAACAAAUAAAUGAAGAGGGUGAAUAUUUUCCUGGCAGAGAGAUAAAGGAUUGAGGAAAAGAAAUACCACAAUUUCUGAGAGUUUGCCAGUUUGGAUAAGAUGCCCCUAACUUUUCCACUUCCUUCUGGAGCCAAUGCUCAGUUAAUGCCUUAUUUUGCAGGUUAACUUUUCUUACAGGUAUGCGGGCGCUGCUACAUUAAGGUCGCUGUCAAAGGGCCGGAAAGGAAUUUCCCUGCAUUGGCAGGUUUCGCCUUUCCCGUAGCAAAACGUCACAACUUUGGCGGUAUCAGGCUUUGGGCGGAAUCCUUUUCUCCAUCUUCCUCUUUGCAGCGGUGAUACCAGGGUUCCCCGUUAAAGGGGUUUCUGAAGGGAGGCUUUGACCGUAUGCCAAAAGGUCGUCAUUGCUCUCCCCCCGGCGGCGGUGUAACGGGGGCGGCUAUCUCUGCUUGAACAUAUGUUCUCCAGAGCCGGCCCAUCCCCCACACAAACACUGGAUAACCCUGAUGCUCCCUAGGUCCCCGGCUGGGGACUGGGGAGGGAGAACGCCCAAUGCCUGAGCCAAGGUCUAC
RNAcentral lists this long non-coding RNA (6828 nucleotides) under Podarcis lilfordi (Lilford's wall lizard). The record is from RNAcentral. Lineage: Eukaryota; Metazoa; Chordata; Lepidosauria; Squamata; Lacertidae.